CCCAAUCCAGAAAAAAUCCAUAUCCGAAAGCCAAUAAACCUAUACCCCAGGAAACCCAAAUCAAUUCCCAAAAGGAAACUCGAACCAGCCCACAAUCAAAGCAACCAGGAAUCACCACCCAGGCUUAAAAAUGAAGCCUGAAGAAGACCCAUGUUGGUCUCCGGUGAAGAUCGAAGGACGGCAAUAGCGAAGCAGAUGGUGGUCUGUGCCAGUUUUAGGCUGUGGAUUUUUUGACUUGGUGCUUUGUUUGGG
This 252-nucleotide long non-coding RNA is filed under the name Durio zibethinus. RNAcentral's name for it is "long non-coding RNA (DZIB_LNC000419)". Lineage: Eukaryota; Viridiplantae; Streptophyta; Magnoliopsida; Malvales; Malvaceae. The record is from RNAcentral.